Molecule: ribosomal RNA, 1244 nt
Filed under: Enterococcus mundtii
Lineage: Bacteria; Bacillati; Bacillota; Bacilli; Lactobacillales; Enterococcaceae
Description: bacterial SSU rRNA
Rfam family: Bacterial small subunit ribosomal RNA
Source: RNAcentral
GAGUAACACGUGGGUAACCUGCCCAUCAGAAGGGGAUAACACUUGGAAACAGGUGCUAAUACCGUAUAACAAUCGAAACCGCAUGGUUUCGUUUUGAAAGGCGCUUUACGGUGCCGCUGAUGGAUGGACCCGCGGUGCAUUAGCUAGUUGGUGAGGUAACGGCUCACCAAGGCCACGAUGCAUAGCCGACCUGAGAGGGUGAUCGGCCACAUUGGGACUGAGACACGGCCCAAACUCCUACGGGAGGCAGCAGUAGGGAAUCUUCGGCAAUGGACGAAAGUCUGACCGAGCAACGCCGCGUGAGUGAAGAAGGUUUUCGGAUCGUAAAACUCUGUUGUUAGAGAAGAACAAGGGUGAGAGUAACUGUUCACCCCUUGACGGUAUCUAACCAGAAAGCCACGGCUAACUACGUGCCAGCAGCCGCGGUAAUACGUAGGUGGCAAGCGUUGUCCGGAUUUAUUGGGCGUAAAGCGAGCGCAGGCGGUUUCUUAAGUCUGAUGUGAAAGCCCCCGGCUCAACCGGGGAGGGUCAUUGGAAACUGGGAGACUUGAGUGCAGAAGAGGAGAGUGGAAUUCCAUGUGUAGCGGUGAAAUGCGUAGAUAUAUGGAGGAACACCAGUGGCGAAGGCGGCUCUCUGGUCUGUAACUGACGCUGAGGCUCGAAAGCGUGGGGAGCAAACAGGAUUAGAUACCCUGGUAGUCCACGCCGUAAACGAUGAGUGCUAAGUGUUGGAGGGUUUCCGCCCUUCAGUGCUGCAGCUAACGCAUUAAGCACUCCGCCUGGGGAGUACGACCGCAAGGUUGAAACUCAAAGGAAUUGACGGGGGCCCGCACAAGCGGUGGAGCAUGUGGUUUAAUUCGAAGCAACGCGAAGAACCUUACCAGGUCUUGACAUCCUUUGACCACUCUAGAGAUAGAGCUUCCCCUUCGGGGGCAAAGUGACAGGUGGUGCAUGGUUGUCGUCAGCUCGUGUCGUGAGAUGUUGGGUUAAGUCCCGCAACGAGCGCAACCCUUAUUGUUAGUUGCCAUCAUUUAGUUGGGCACUCUAGCAAGACUGCCGGUGACAAACCGGAGGAAGGUGGGGAUGACGUCAAAUCAUCAUGCCCCUUAUGACCUGGGCUACACACGUGCUACAAUGGGAAGUACAACGAGUCGCGAAGUCGCGAGGCUAAGCUAAUCUCUUAAAGCUUCUCUCAGUUCGGAUUGUAGGCUGCAACUCGCCUACAUGAAGCCGGAAUCGCUAGU